This 278-nucleotide ribosomal RNA is filed under the name uncultured soil bacterium. RNAcentral's name for it is "partial 16S ribosomal RNA". It matches the Rfam family "Bacterial small subunit ribosomal RNA", at positions 26 to 309 of the family's 1533-position model. The record is from RNAcentral.
AGAUUGAACGCUGGCGGCAUGCCUUACACAUGCAAGUCGAACGGUAGAGUAGCAAUACUCGAGAGUGGCGAACGGGUGAGUAAUAUAUCGGAACGUGCCCAGUCGUGGGGGAUAACGUAGAGAAAUUUACGCUAAUACCGCAUACGAUCUACGGAUGAAAGCGGGGGAUUCGCAAGAACCUCGCGCGAUUGGAGCGGCUGAUAUCAGAUUAGGUUGUGGACGAGGUAAAAGCUCACCAAGCCGACGAUCGUGUAGUCGUGGUUUGAGAGGAACCGACC